Molecule: ribosomal RNA, 253 nt
Filed under: uncultured bacterium
Lineage: Bacteria
Description: partial 16S ribosomal RNA
Rfam family: Bacterial small subunit ribosomal RNA
Source: RNAcentral
UACGAAGGGGGCUAGCGUUGUUCGGAAUUACUGGGCGUAAAGGGCGCGUAGGCGGCCCUCCAAGUCAGAUGUGAAAGCCCCGGGCUUAACCUGGGAAUUGCAUUUGAGACUGAAGGGCUUGAGUUUCGGAGAGGUGGGCGGAAUUCCCAGUGUAGAGGUGAAAUUCGUAGAUAUUGGGAAGAACACCGGUGGCGAAGGCGGCCCACUGGACGAACACUGACGCUGAGGCGCGAAAGCUAGGGGAGCAAACAGG